RNAcentral lists this ribosomal RNA (2921 nucleotides) under Staphylococcus aureus. Its description in RNAcentral is "23S ribosomal RNA from Staphylococcus aureus (PDB 8Y36, chain A)". It matches the Rfam family "Bacterial large subunit ribosomal RNA". The record is from RNAcentral. Lineage: Bacteria; Bacillati; Bacillota; Bacilli; Caryophanales; Staphylococcaceae. RNAcentral also lists the same sequence under 455 other names.
UUAAGUUAUUAAGGGCGCACGGUGGAUGCCUUGGCACUAGAAGCCGAUGAAGGACGUUACUAACGACGAUAUGCUUUGGGGAGCUGUAAGUAAGCUUUGAUCCAGAGAUUUCCGAAUGGGGAAACCCAGCAUGAGUUAUGUCAUGUUAUCGAUAUGUGAAUACAUAGCAUAUCAGAAGGCACACCCGGAGAACUGAAACAUCUUAGUACCCGGAGGAAGAGAAAGAAAAUUCGAUUCCCUUAGUAGCGGCGAGCGAAAUGGGAAGAGCCCAAACCAACAAGCUUGCUUGUUGGGGUUGUAGGACACUCUAUACGGAGUUACAAAGGACGACAUUAGACGAAUCAUCUGGAAAGAUGAAUCAAAGAAGGUAAUAAUCCUGUAGUCGAAAAUGUUGUCUCUCUUGAGUGGAUCCUGAGUACGACGGAGCACGUGAAAUUCCGUCGGAAUCUGGGAGGACCAUCUCCUAAGGCUAAAUACUCUCUAGUGACCGAUAGUGAACCAGUACCGUGAGGGAAAGGUGAAAAGCACCCCGGAAGGGGAGUGAAAUAGAACCUGAAACCGUGUGCUUACAAGUAGUCAGAGCCCGUUAAUGGGUGAUGGCGUGCCUUUUGUAGAAUGAACCGGCGAGUUACGAUUUGAUGCAAGGUUAAGCAGUAAAUGUGGAGCCGUAGCGAAAGCGAGUCUGAAUAGGGCGUUUAGUAUUUGGUCGUAGACCCGAAACCAGGUGAUCUACCCUUGGUCAGGUUGAAGUUCAGGUAACACUGAAUGGAGGACCGAACCGACUUACGUUGAAAAGUGAGCGGAUGAACUGAGGGUAGCGGAGAAAUUCCAAUCGAACCUGGAGAUAGCUGGUUCUCUCCGAAAUAGCUUUAGGGCUAGCCUCAAGUGAUGAUUAUUGGAGGUAGAGCACUGUUUGGACGAGGGGCCCCUCUCGGGUUACCGAAUUCAGACAAACUCCGAAUGCCAAUUAAUUUAACUUGGGAGUCAGAACAUGGGUGAUAAGGUCCGUGUUCGAAAGGGAAACAGCCCAGACCACCAGCUAAGGUCCCAAAAUAUAUGUUAAGUGGAAAAGGAUGUGGCGUUGCCCAGACAACUAGGAUGUUGGCUUAGAAGCAGCCAUCAUUUAAAGAGUGCGUAAUAGCUCACUAGUCGAGUGACACUGCGCCGAAAAUGUACCGGGGCUAAACAUAUUACCGAAGCUGUGGAUUGUCCUUUGGACAAUGGUAGGAGAGCGUUCUAAGGGCGUUGAAGCAUGAUCGUAAGGACAUGUGGAGCGCUUAGAAGUGAGAAUGCCGGUGUGAGUAGCGAAAGACGGGUGAGAAUCCCGUCCACCGAUUGACUAAGGUUUCCAGAGGAAGGCUCGUCCGCUCUGGGUUAGUCGGGUCCUAAGCUGAGGCCGACAGGCGUAGGCGAUGGAUAACAGGUUGAUAUUCCUGUACCACCUAUAAUCGUUUUAAUCGAUGGGGGGACGCAGUAGGAUAGGCGAAGCGUGCGAUUGGAUUGCACGUCUAAGCAGUAAGGCUGAGUAUUAGGCAAAUCCGGUACUCGUUAAGGCUGAGCUGUGAUGGGGAGAAGACAUUGUGUCUUCGAGUCGUUGAUUUCACACUGCCGAGAAAAGCCUCUAGAUAGAAAAUAGGUGCCCGUACCGCAAACCGACACAGGUAGUCAAGAUGAGAAUUCUAAGGUGAGCGAGCGAACUCUCGUUAAGGAACUCGGCAAAAUGACCCCGUAACUUCGGGAGAAGGGGUGCUCUUUAGGGUUAACGCCCAGAAGAGCCGCAGUGAAUAGGCCCAAGCGACUGUUUAUCAAAAACACAGGUCUCUGCUAAACCGUAAGGUGAUGUAUAGGGGCUGACGCCUGCCCGGUGCUGGAAGGUUAAGAGGAGUGGUUAGCUUCUGCGAAGCUACGAAUCGAAGCCCCAGUAAACGGCGGCCGUAACUAUAACGGUCCUAAGGUAGCGAAAUUCCUUGUCGGGUAAGUUCCGACCCGCACGAAAGGCGUAACGAUUUGGGCACUGUCUCAACGAGAGACUCGGUGAAAUCAUAGUACCUGUGAAGAUGCAGGUUACCCGCGACAGGACGGAAAGACCCCGUGGAGCUUUACUGUAGCCUGAUAUUGAAAUUCGGCACAGCUUGUACAGGAUAGGUAGGAGCCUUUGAAACGUGAGCGCUAGCUUACGUGGAGGCGCUGGUGGGAUACUACCCUAGCUGUGUUGGCUUUCUAACCCGCACCACUUAUCGUGGUGGGAGACAGUGUCAGGCGGGCAGUUUGACUGGGGCGGUCGCCUCCUAAAAGGUAACGGAGGCGCUCAAAGGUUCCCUCAGAAUGGUUGGAAAUCAUUCAUAGAGUGUAAAGGCAUAAGGGAGCUUGACUGCGAGACCUACAAGUCGAGCAGGGUCGAAAGACGGACUUAGUGAUCCGGUGGUUCCGCAUGGAAGGGCCAUCGCUCAACGGAUAAAAGCUACCCCGGGGAUAACAGGCUUAUCUCCCCCAAGAGUUCACAUCGACGGGGAGGUUUGGCACCUCGAUGUCGGCUCAUCGCAUCCUGGGGCUGUAGUCGGUCCCAAGGGUUGGGCUGUUCGCCCAUUAAAGCGGUACGCGAGCUGGGUUCAGAACGUCGUGAGACAGUUCGGUCCCUAUCCGUCGUGGGCGUAGGAAAUUUGAGAGGAGCUGUCCUUAGUACGAGAGGACCGGGAUGGACAUACCUCUGGUGUACCAGUUGUCGUGCCAACGGCAUAGCUGGGUAGCUAUGUGUGGACGGGAUAAGUGCUGAAAGCAUCUAAGCAUGAAGCCCCCCUCAAGAUGAGAUUUCCCAACUUCGGUUAUAAGAUCCCUCAAAGAUGAUGAGGUUAAUAGGUUCGAGGUGGAAGCAUGGUGACAUGUGGAGCUGACGAAUACUAAUCGAUCGAAGACUUAAUCAA